Molecule: long non-coding RNA, 5509 nt
Filed under: Marmota monax (woodchuck)
Lineage: Eukaryota; Metazoa; Chordata; Mammalia; Rodentia; Sciuridae
Source: RNAcentral
CUGGCCCAUCCCCCUGUGCCUCUCCUGACCCCACAUCCUGUAGGGCUCCCAGUGCCCCAGAUACAAAAGCCACAUUCUUCCUGCCCUUGGCCUUUAAGGUCCCAGGGGUGUCCCAGGGGCUCCCAGUGCUGCUCCUGCCUGGAACAGCCUCUUUGUCCACAAGGGNUCUGAAGACCCAGCGGGGACCAGGUCAUACAAUUUCCUUGUCCUCAGAGGUCCCAGUCUGGGGUGGCAGAGAACAAACAGGAAACGAGGAAGUGAACAAUAUUAUGUCAAACGCCAACGUGGAGAAAGGAAAAGAGCGAGCGCGCGGGUGCCACACUGGCCAAUGGUGGCUUUAGCUGGGAGAUCUCUCAGAGAGGAUCACACCGCGGCCAGCAGAGACACUGAGAAGGAAGAGCAGCCAGCCACAGAGAAAGGGCGUCCCACGCAGGAGCGAGGGAAGGGGCUGGCGGCUGACCGCACUGGCUCCCAGCUGCAGGAGGAGGCGAAGGAUCAGUGGGGAGCCGCGGGGAGCCGGGACGGGGCGCCAUCUGGGUUGUGUUUGUGAAUCCACCAUGUCCUCCGUGGGACGCAGGGGCUGCGGGGGGACAGGAUGGGAAGGGACAGGAGGCCAGCAGGAGACUUGGACGGCAUGUGGGAGGGGACCACUGGGGUCUGGAUUAUGGUGGGGCCAGGAGGAGAAGUCCAUGCAUUGGGACCUGUUUUGAGGGCAAGCGGUGAGUCCUGGGGUGGGGGUGGCGGGGGCCACCUAAGCUCCCAGGCCAGCAUCCGGUCUGAGCUCAGUUCAGGGAACAGAGCCUCCCGAUUCUGGGGAUGGAGCCACAGACUCCAUAUUUUGUCUCUGCAUCUGAGCCACCCGCCCCACCCAUGUGUUCCAGACACACCUCUGCAUACGCUGGGUACACAAGAUGCUCCUCGUCACCAGCCACAGGUACACUUAGCAACCCCCACGCCCCAUCACACUUGCCCACUGCCCUGGCCUCCCCAGCAGCGGCCUCUCCCAGGCCCAUCUGGCCUCAGUUCCCCCCCACAGCACAGGGCCUGCUUCCGCGGAAACGGAGAAGGCCACCCUUGAAGGGCUGAUCUCUGGCCAGACGCAGCGGCAGGCCCCGGUCAUCCCAGCCACUCAGGAGGCUGAAGCAGGAGGAUCACAAGUCCAAGGCCAGCCUCAGCAACUUAGCGAGGUUGUCUUGAAAACAAACAAACAAAAGGGCUGGGGAUGUGGCUCAGUGGUAGAGCACCCCAGUUUCCAGCCCCAUAAAAACAGAAGGGCUGCUGGGCUCGGGAGGCUGAGGCAGGAGGAUCGCGGGUUCAAAGCCAGCCUCAGCAACAUCGAGGUGCUAAGCGACUCAGUGAGACCUUGUCUCUAAAUAAAACACAAAUUAGACUUGGGGAUGUGAUUCUGUGGUCAAGUGCCCCUAAGUUCAAACCCCAGAACUACCCCCACCAAGAAAAGUUAUAAUUAAGCCAGGCCUGGUGGUGCACACCUGUAAUCCUGGUGACUCAAAGCCAGCCUCAGCAACUCCACUAGACCCUGACUCAAAAUAAAAAAAUAAGAAGGGCUAGGGAUGUGAUUCAGUGGUUAUGCACCUCUGAAUUCAAUCCCUGGUAGCAGGUCUGGGCAUUGUGGUGCAUGUCUGUAAUCCCAGCUGCUUAGAAGUCCAAGGCAGGAGGAUUACAAGCUUGAGGCCUGUUUCAGCAAUUUAUUGAGAUCCUGAAUCAAAAUAAAAUAAAAUUAAAUACAAAACAGGGCUGGGGAUGGGGGCUCAGUGGUUGUGUACCCCUGAGUUCAAUCUCCGGUACUCCCCAUCCCCCCACAAAAAGACAAACCAGAAGGGCUGAGCUCUGACCCCGCUGGCCACCCAUCAGACAGGCCCCUCCUGUGCCCACACCCCCACGGCUCCUCACUGCUCUGGAGCAGAACUGUAGAAUCCCUGAAUGGAUCCCUCUUAAGAUUCAGAUCUUACCCAGGUCCCUCAUCCACUCUGUGACCUUGGCCUUUGCCUCUCUCGGCUUGUGCUAGGGACUGGGUAAGUGGGUCUCAGGCCUCCCCCUGACUGGCUGCUGGACUGGCCACCGCAGCCCUUCUGCCCUCCCCACUGGCCCAUCCCCCUGUGCCUCUCCUGACCCCACAUCCUGUAGGGCUCCCAGUGCCCCAGAUACAAAAGCCACAUUCUUCCUGCCCUUGGCCUUUAAGGUCCCAGGGGUGUCCCAGGGGCUCCCAGUGCUGCUCCUGCCUGGAACAGCCUCUUUGUCCACAAGGGUCCGCCUCAUAUCUUUCUCAACACCAUCUCUCCACUCCCACCACCACAGGAGACACCCUCCCAGCUGUCCCCAUUCACCCAUGCCACAAGCAUUAGCCGAGCACCCGCUGGAUCCCAGGCCCUGCCCUGAGGACACAAAUGAUCAUAACAGGUUCAGGUUUGGGGCUCCCAAACCUCCAAGGGAGAAAAACAACUUGAUCACACAAGAAGACGUGCAGGUCGCACUCCUGGUGGGGACAGAGGGAGGGACACAAGCAUAACAGUGUGACCAGGAUCUGGAAAGAAGUUGGCACAGUUGCCCAUUUGAGGGCUUCAUGGAGACCUGGAAGGAAAGGGGCUCUGGGCAGAGGGGAAAUGAUCCCAAAGGUCCUGGGGCCUGACCAGUCUGCAUUGAGGAUGACCAGCUCCCCCAAACUCUUUGACUAGAGCAGAUUGAGCGAUGGGGAGAGGUAUGGGGGGGAAGUGGGGGCAGGGACACAGGGACCAUGGCCUCUAGAGCCUUGGGGGCUAAGGGGACAAAUGAAGGCUUACUCCUAGGGUGCUUGGGCCACCUGGAGGCAGAGACCCAUUUGCUCGCAUGGCCCGAGGUAGUUUGGCUCUGCUGCCCCCUGGUGGUGAGUGAGGCAUCCUGGUGGCCUCCCCUCUGGCCCCAAACUGCCUCCAUUUCCUCUGAUAAGUCUGUUCGGCCACGCCCAACCCAGGGCUCCUUCCCUCCCCUCCUGUCCUCACUGGGGUGGAGGCCAAGGACUCAGAGUCAGAUCUGUCCUGAUGCUCUCCCAGGGCGUCUCUGGGCAAUACAUUCUGAGGUUGUGUGCUUGUUCUCUCCUCUCCUCUAUGGGGAUGACAGCAGUCCCUGCUUCUCAACUUACUCCAGGCCCUACUCUCUUCUGUCCAAAUGUUGCACUACCUACCUCUUUGUCUCUGCCACAUCCAUGCCUGUCCCCAGGCAGUGACAGAAGCUUUAAAAUUUUUCAUCCUGCCUCAGGACCUUUGCAUAUCCUGUUCCCACUGCCUUGUGCCAAUUUCUGCCUAGAUCUGUCCAUGCCCGGGCUCAAACAGCAACUCCCCAUGAGUUCCCUACUUGAACGGGUCUUGUUUAUCCACAUGCUUGCUCAUCACCAUCUCCUCAUGCUGGCUGAGAACUCCCUGGAGGAAAGAAUGUGUUCCUCUUGUUCACAUUUAUGCCUUUAGCACCAGGCACACAGUAGGUGUCUAAUAAGCACUUGCUGAUUGAAUGACAGGAAACUUGCCUACUGCCAGGCACCCAGUGUGGGCUCCAUGUUGUUCUCUCUUAUUAAAACAUGUGGAGGGCCAGGGCUGGGGCUCAGCGGUAGAGCGCUCACCUAGCACUCUUGAGGCGCUGGGUUCGAUCCUCAGCACCACAUAAAAAUAAAGAUAGUACUGUGUCCACCUACAACUAAAAAGUAAAUAUUAAAAAAGAAAAGCUUUUGGAAAGGCUGUAUGUAGUGGCGCAUGCCUGUGAUCCCAGCAGCUCAGGAGGCCGAGGAAGGAGGAUCAUGAGUCCAAAGCCAGCCUCAGCUACUUAGCAAGGCACUAAGCAGCUUAACGAGAUCCUUUCUCUAAAUAAAUAAAUAAGGUCUGGGGACGUGGCCCAUUGGUUAAGCACCCCUGGGUUCCAGUCCAUAACAUUCUUCCCCGUACAGUGGCAAGACCCUGAGACUUGCCCAGUCACAGAGAGUGACUCAAACCUUGACAGACUCUGGUGGCAUAUCUGGCCUUGAUCCUUGGUCCCCAGACACACUAAAUCAGAAGAAUAGGAUUCUCCCCUGGGCCUCAAUCUCCUCAGCUGGGAAAUGGGGUUAAGCAGGGACCUCCUGCCAGGGUGAGGGAGGGAAUGCGGGCCUGGAGCCACACUGGCACUCCGGCAGGCUGGGUAUUCCUCCUGACCGCUCUGUCUGGUUCAGCCUGGUGCACAGGGCUCCAAGCCUGGGCUCUAGUGGUGGAUUCUGGGGCUUGGGCGUGUGUGUAUGCUCAGAGGGAGGAGAGUUCCACGUAGGUCCCCGAGGUCGCUGCCCAGAGCAGCCUGGGAAUCCAGCACCUGUCUGGGGGCAGUCCUUGGGCAACAGCUCAAGUUCUGGCCGGCCUGGGCCACCUGUCAGGUGAGGACCUGCUGGCCAGGCUGUAAAUGGAAUUUCCCCAUCUUGGCCCCAGUGUGCCUGGGCCAACCAUUAUAAAGAGGGGUAAACUGAGGUCCUGAGAGGUGAUGUCACCAGCUUACAGUACCCUGGGGAGAGAGCUGGGUCUGGAGCCUUCCAAGGCUCUGGGGUGCCCGCAGCGGCGCGGUCACUUACCUCCAGGGGUGCAGGCCCAGGGAGGGGCUACAGGGGCUGCAGGGGCUGCUGGGGCUCAGCAGCGACGGGCUCUGACUGCUCGGAGACAGACUGCAAAGAAAGAGGCCGGGGACGGUGAACCUGGCGGUUGCCCCUGAGUGUGGCCGGAUCCGGAGACCAGACCAGGGCAGUGGUUCUCCGGGCGAGGAGGGGCCCCAGGCCGGGGAUUCUGGGUUUCAGCGCAGGCCGCGAGGGAGGGGCCAGGAAGGCUCCCCGGAGGCGGCGACACCAACCGAGACGCGGGGUGGCAGGGAGGGUGGUUGUCAUCCUGUCCUCGCCGGUCCCCCUCCCCGCCCGGCGCGGCACUCACUCGAGGGUCAGCGCCGGGAUGUGCAGCUUGUCCCUGCGGGACUUCAUGCCGAGGCUGGGGCCGCGUCUACGCGGCCGGGUAACGACGUCCUCCUGGCGGCUCCCAAGCCCCGAUCGUGGCGCGAUCGGUCGCACGGACAGACACGGACCGAGGGGCGGCGCGCCUGGCGGGUGCGGCGGACCGGCGCGGAGGCUCGGCCGCCGGGGGCGCGGGGGGCGGUUCUCUCCGCCCCGGGGCGGGGCUCGGAGCGCGGCACCUGCGCGCAAGCCCGGCGGGCAGGAGGGGUCGCGCGGCCGGGAGAAGGCAGCGGUGGGCGCCGCCCCCUUCUCUGGAGGGCUCCGAGGCCGCGAGGUCCCCAGGUCCCCAGCUGCGUGGCCCCAAAGGAAGGGCGGUCACUGCCGCCUGGGCGGCGCGAUUGCCCCAUCGCCCGACCCCGCCCCUCCUCCCGGCCGGCUCCGCCCUCGCCUGGCCCCGGGCGUCCCGCACCCAGGAUGCCCGCGCUCCGCCCAGCCCCGUCACCGCGUCCCCCGCCCGCGUCCCGGCUCUCAGCAUCGCCACGCAGACCAGAGGCCCGGACGCGC